GGAAGAAAUGGGAUUUGAGAAAAGUUUGUUUUUUCUUAGACAGGAAGGGGUUGUAGAACCUAGUCAUUUCUUGAAUAAUACGUAGUUACACGAAGAGGAAGUAGCCAAGAGGCUGUCAGUCUUUGCAUCUUGAGGCACUUCUCUCUCUCUUUCAAACCGAGUUAUACAGCAAUGAAAAAUGUUUGUUGGGUCGCCGUCCGAAAUGUCCGUUCAUGGUGCGUUCUUGGCCGAAGAAUGACCAGACACACACCGUAAACAGGAGAACACAAUUCCUAGAGGAGGAGGAGUUGCUUCAAGACCAUAAUGACAAAAGGCACACAGUACCGAUGGCAGAGAAGGGAGCAAGAAGGAGCCUAAGUCUUUUGUGGCCUCUUCAAGUAGUUGCACCAGUUCUGGGCAGCCUGCUUCUGGA
This is a long non-coding RNA of Lemur catta (Ring-tailed lemur), 412 nucleotides long. RefSeq lists it as uncharacterized. The transcript has 3 exons. NCBI's taxonomy places the organism in Eukaryota, Metazoa, Chordata, Mammalia, Primates, Lemuridae. The record is from RefSeq and is a predicted model, not a curated record.